UAGGGAAUCUUCCGCAAUGGGCGAAAGCCUGACGGAGCAACGCCGCGUGAGUGAUGAAGGUCUACGGAUCGUAAAACUCUGCUAUUAGGGAAGAACAAAUGUGUAAGUAACUAUGCACGUCUUGACGGUACCUAAUCAGAAAGCCACGGCUAACUACGUGCCAGCAGCCGCGGUAAUACGUAGGUGGCAAGCGUUAUCCGGGAUUAUUGGGCGUAAAGCGCGCGUAGGCGGUUUUUUAAGUCUGAUGUGAAAGCCCACGGCUCAACCGUAGGCGGUCAUUGGAAACUGGAAAACUUGAGUGCAGAAGAAGAAAGUGGAAUUCCAUGUGUAACGGUGAAAUGCGCAAAGCUAUGGGGAAACACCAGUGGCGAAAGCGACUUUCUGGUCUGUAACUGACACUGAUGUUCGAAAGCGUGGGGAUCAAACAGG
RNAcentral lists this ribosomal RNA (429 nucleotides) under Actinomycetes bacterium. RNAcentral's name for it is "Actinobacteria bacterium partial 16S ribosomal RNA". It matches the Rfam family "Bacterial small subunit ribosomal RNA", at positions 355 to 776 of the family's 1533-position model. The record is from RNAcentral. Lineage: Bacteria; Bacillati; Actinomycetota; Actinomycetes.